This 395-nucleotide ribosomal RNA is filed under the name uncultured bacterium. Its description in RNAcentral is "partial 16S ribosomal RNA". It matches the Rfam family "Bacterial small subunit ribosomal RNA", at positions 523 to 918 of the family's 1533-position model. The record is from RNAcentral.
AUACGUAGGGUGCAAGCGUUAAUCGGAAUUACUGGGCGUAAAGCGUGCGCAGGCGGUUUUGUAAGACAGAGGUGAAAUCCCCGGGCUCAACCUGGGAACUGCCUUUGUGACUGCAAGGCUAGAGUACGGCAGAGGGGGAUGGAAUUCCGCGUGUAGCAGUGAAAGGCGUAGAUAUGGGGAGGAACAACGAUGGCGAAGGCAAUCCCCUGGUCCUGUACUAACGCGCAUGCACGAAGGCGUGGGGAGGAAACGGAGUUAGAUACCCUGGUAGUCCGCGCCCUAAACGAUUUCAACUGGUUGUUGGGUCUUCAUUGACUCAGUAACGAAGCUAACGCGUGAAGUUGACCGCCUGGGGAGUACGGCCGCAAGGUUGAAGCUCAAAUGAAUUGACGGGG